Molecule: ribosomal RNA, 449 nt
Filed under: uncultured bacterium
Lineage: Bacteria
Description: partial 16S ribosomal RNA
Rfam family: Bacterial small subunit ribosomal RNA
Source: RNAcentral
AAUGAACGCUGGCGGCAGGCCUAACACAUGCAAGUCGAACGGAUCCUUCGGGAUUAGUGGCGGACGGGUGAGUAACGCGUGGGAACACACCCUUUGGUACGGAAUAGCCUCGGGAAACUGGGAGUAAUACCGUAUGUGGUCGAGAGACGAAAGAUUUAUCGCCAAAGGAUUGGCCCGCGUUGGAUUAGGUAGUUGGUGGGGUAAUGGCCUACCAAGCCGACGAUCCAUAGCUGGUUUGAGAGGAUGAUCAGCCACACUGGGACUGAGACACGGCCCAGACUCCUACGGGAGGCAGCAGUGGGGAAUCUUAGACAAUGGGGGAAACCCUGACCUAGCCAUGCCGCGUGAUCGAUGAAGGCCUUAGGGUUGUAAAGAUCUUUCAGGUGGGAAGAUAAUGACUGUACCACCAGAAGAAGCCCCGGCUAACUCCGUGCCAGCCGCCGCGGUAA